AGUCGAGGGGUAUAAGUCUUCGGAUUUAGAGACCGGCGCACGGGUGCGUAACGCGUAUGCAAUCUACCUUUCACAGAGGGAUAGCCCAGAGAAAUUUGGAUUAAUACCUCAUAGUAUAGUACCUUGGCAUCAAGGAACUAUUAAAGAUUUAUCGGUGAAAGAUGAGCAUGCGUCCCAUUAGCUUGUUGGUAAGGUAACGGCUUACCAAGGCUACGAUGGGUAGGGGUCCUGAGAGGGAGAUCCCCCACACUGGUACUGAGACACGGACCAGACUCCUACGGGAGGCAGCAGUGAGGAAUAUUGGUCAAUGGGCGCAAGCCUGAACCAGCCAUGCCGCGUGCAGGAUGACGGUCCUAUGGAUUGUAAACUGCUUUUAUACAGGAAGAAACAACUCUACGUGUAGAGUCUUGACGGUACUGUAGGAAUAAGGAUCGGCUAACUCCGUGCCAGCAGCCGCGGUAAUACGGAGGAUCCAAGCGUUAUCCGGAAUCAUUGGGUUUAAAGGGUCCGUAGGCGGCUUAAUAAGUCAGUGGUGAAAGCCCUACGCUUAACGUAGGAACGGCCAUUGAUACUGUUAGGCUUGAAUUAUUAGGAAGUAACUAGAAUAUGUAGUGUAGCGGUGAAAUGCUUAGAGAUUACAUGGAAUACCAAUUGCGAAGGCAGGUUACUACUAAUGGAUUGACGCUGAUGGACGACAGCGUGGGUAGCGAACAGGAUUACAUACCCUGGUAGUCCACGCCGUAAACGAUGGAUACUAGCUGUUGGGCGCAAG
This 772-nucleotide ribosomal RNA is filed under the name uncultured bacterium. RNAcentral's name for it is "SSU rRNA". It matches the Rfam family "Bacterial small subunit ribosomal RNA", at positions 60 to 833 of the family's 1533-position model. The record is from RNAcentral.